Long non-coding RNA from Artibeus jamaicensis (Jamaican fruit-eating bat), 2066 nucleotides. RefSeq lists it as uncharacterized. NCBI's taxonomy places the organism in Eukaryota, Metazoa, Chordata, Mammalia, Chiroptera, Phyllostomidae. The record is from RefSeq and is a predicted model, not a curated record. The transcript is spliced from 2 exons.
CCCUGCGCAUGCGCUGUCUGCCUUCGGGCCUGGAGCACCGGACGGACGAACGGCGUCCCCUGGUGGCCCGGGACCCGACGGCUGGCGUCACCUGGGGGACCCUCCCGACCUGUGGCCAGACGAGUCACCCCGCUGGGACAGCCGUCGGGGCGGUAACGAGGAAAGCUGCCCACGUAAUUGGCGGGUGCUGAAAGCGCUUCUCAGGUGGGCAGCGGGGUGAGUCGGAAACCCAUCCCCGGUGGCCAUUCCGCGGUGGCGCCACGAGGAGUGUCAGGACGGCCUCGGAGAGCGCCUGGCGCGCAGACCCGGGACCUGACGGAGGGGAUACACCCAGGCCCCCGCGCGCCUGUCCACGGAAUACGACCAACCCAUGGAGGUUUCUCGUCCGUCCAAAUCCCCACGAAGUUGUGCCGCGAACAGGACCCCCAGCAUAUUGGGAGGUUAAGGGGCCUCGCAGUCGGAGAAGGAAUGCUCACUGGCUCAGUCAGCCCGAAGAACCUGGACUGGCAGCCUCUGCAUCGAAGUUAGGCGGUAAAUAAUGACCACGGACUGCGUGCGAGGUGCUGUGAGGAAAUACAAGGCGCUUGGAACCACGGGGCAGGAAAGACACCGCAGUAGCCAAAAUACUAGAGUGGAGCAUUGACAGAUCCACGGAGAACCUCGAGAAGAAGAAUUCCAAGAUGGGACAGACUCUCAGCUCACUCCUAGCUAAAUGGUUAUAGUGUAUCAUGGUAAGAGAAGACUUCUUGGGGAGGCAACAGGUAAAGGAGGAAAAAUCUAAAAUUAACUAGGACGGUCACCUAUCAGGUGCUUUCUAUAUCUUCACUUACGUUUAAAAGAAACAGGCCCAGAGAGCUUUUCUAUCCGUCAAGAGCCAGCCAGUGCGUGGCCAGUGGGAGGGGUCCCCAACCUCCACCGUCCUGAUCAGUGGAAAAACUUUUCCGUGAAACUGGUGCCUGGUGACAAAACAAGUUGGGGACCGCUGGCCAGUGAGAGUUAAUUAUGAACAGCUGCUGUUGUUGAAUACUUACUUAUAUCCUUACAACAAUCCUGUAAAGUACCAUUUUAAAGGUGACAAUGCUGAGGCUCAAAAAAGUAAUGUGGUUCAGGCCACAAAGGCUGUAAGCAGAUCCAAGGCUCGAACUAAGACUUACUCGUUCACCCUGUACAACUAGUUACAACAAAGCAGAAAUGUACGUAAGAAGAGGAGACACAGUCUGACAGCAUUCCUAUAUGCACAGUAGGGCUGGGUCAUGAUACAAGGCUAAGAAAAUUGGUUGGAGGGAAGUGGUAAGAAUCCUUGGCCCUUCACAAAUCAGCUUGGAUGACGGUGGCCUGUGUAUAACUGUACGUACGCCCUGUUUUGUUCCGGAGAGAACUGGAAGCAAUGUAUAUCCGAGUCACGUGAAUACAUGCGGAUGGAGGAAAAACGAGUAGAGAGUCAAAAGAUAACUCAUUUUCUUAGCACUGAAUGACAUUCCAUUGCCUAGAUGUACCGCAGUGUAUCUCUCCAUCGCCUCCUGGAGGACAUCGUGGUUGCUUCCAGUUGUCGCCAGUUACCACUGUAAACAUCCACGUGCGGGUUUUCGUGUGGACACGUUUUCAGCUUUUUUGGGUAAACACCAAGGAGCAGGGUUGCUGGACUGUUCGGUUUUAUACAAAACUGCAAACUGCUGUCCAGGCAGCUGCACCAGGCAGCGCUCCCACCAGCGGGGGGUGAGAGCUGCUGCCACACCAACGUCUCCACCAGCAUCUGCUGCUGUCAGUGUGCCGACCUUGGCCAUUCUGUCACUCGUGGGUGUGGGACGGUGUUGAAUUUGCCCUGAUGCUGUAUGAUGUGGAGCAUCUCUUCAUAUGCUUAUUUGCAAUCUGUACAUCUUUGGUGAGGCAACUAUUGAUAUCUUUGCCUAUUUUUUCAGUUGUUUUCAUGUUGUUGAGUUUUAACUUUGUAUGUGUUGCUUACCAGUUAUUUAUCAAAUAUGCCUUUUAGAAUAUAUUUUAAUGUAUGAAGUAAGUACACAGAUACUUCAAUAAAACAUGUUUAUAGGGGUGUCACCUAAAAAUAA